GAUGAACGCUAGCGGCAGGCUUAACACAUGCAAGUCGAGGGGUAUUGGUUUUCGGACCAAGAGACCGGCGCACGGGUGCGUAACGCGUAUGCAAUCUACCUUUUGCAGAGGGAUAGCCCAGAGAAAUUUGGAUUAAUACCUCAUAGUAUAGUACCUUGGCAUCAAGGAGCUAUUAAAGUCACAACGGCAAAAGAUGAGCAUGCGUCCCAUUAGCUAGUUGGUAAGGUAACGGCUUACCAAGGCGACGAUGGGUAGGGGUCCUGAGAGGGAGAUCCCCCACACUGGUACUGAGACACGGACCAGACUCCUACGGGAGGCAGCAGUGAGGAAUAUUGGACAAUGGGCGCAAGCCUGAUCCAGCCAUGCCGCGUGCAGGAUGACGGUCCUAUGGAUUGUAAACUGCUUUUAUACAGGAAGAAACACUGGUUCGUGAACCAGCUUGACGGUACUGUAAGAAUAAGGAUCGGCUAACUCCGUGCCAGCAGCCG
This 488-nucleotide ribosomal RNA is filed under the name uncultured bacterium. RNAcentral's name for it is "bacterial SSU rRNA". It matches the Rfam family "Bacterial small subunit ribosomal RNA", at positions 28 to 517 of the family's 1533-position model. The record is from RNAcentral.